Molecule: transfer RNA, 73 nt
Filed under: Phytophthora infestans (potato late blight agent)
Lineage: Eukaryota; Oomycota; Peronosporomycetes; Peronosporales; Peronosporaceae
Description: tRNA-Pro
Rfam family: tRNA
About the family: Transfer RNA (tRNA) molecules are approximately 80 nucleotides in length.
Source: RNAcentral
CCGCUUUUAGCUCAGUGGUCGAGCAUUGGCUUUGGAAGCCACAGGUCGGGAGGUUCGAACCCACCAGAGCACA